ACAAAAAUGAAAUUCAAAGCAUGAUGACUGGGUGUUCACGCUCUUGUGUGACGUGUGCCCCCCCACAAACUUUGGACAUCAGCAUAUUCAUUACCCGUCUGACA
Molecule: small nucleolar RNA, 104 nt
Organism: Phyllostomus hastatus (greater spear-nosed bat)
Lineage: Eukaryota; Metazoa; Chordata; Mammalia; Chiroptera; Phyllostomidae
Product: small nucleolar RNA U13
Exons: 1
Source: RefSeq, a predicted model, not a curated record